GAUGAACGCUGGCGGCGUGCCUAAUACAUGCAAGUCGAGCGGACAGACGAUGAUCUUGCUCCUCGGACGUUAGCGGCGGGCGGGUGAGUAACACGUGUAUAACCUACCUGUAAGACUGGGAUAACUUCGGGAAACCGGAGCUAAUACCGGAUAAGAUAUUGAUCCGCAUGGUUCAAUAGUGAGAGACGGUUGUGCUGGCACUUAUCGAUGGAUCCGCGCCGCUUGAGAUAGUUGGUAAGGUAACGGCUUACCAAGGCAACCAUGCGUAGCCGAAGUGAGAGGGUGAUAGGCCACACUGGAGGUGAAACACGGUCAAGACUACUACGGGAGGGACCAGUAGGGAAUGUUACGCAAUGGGCGAAAGUAUGACGGAGCAAGGGCGAGCGAGUGAUGAAGGUGCUCGGAUCGUAAAACUGUGUUACUAGGGAAGAACAAAUGUGUAAGUAAACAUGCACGUCUUGACGGUAAUUAAUAAGAAAGCAACGGCUAACUACGUG
This 497-nucleotide ribosomal RNA is filed under the name uncultured bacterium. RNAcentral describes it as "partial 16S ribosomal RNA". It matches the Rfam family "Bacterial small subunit ribosomal RNA", at positions 28 to 507 of the family's 1533-position model. The record is from RNAcentral.